CACGACUUGCUAAACUACUGGUGCCUCAUUCUCGUGUGUUUUACUAUGUUGAGCUACGCCCUUUACCUCCCCUCCACAACUUCUCAACGCGCGCCGACGCUGCAGCGUAUAGUCAAAAAUUUAGAUAGAAACAGAAACCAUCCAUCGGUGACGAAGCGAUCCGACCACCACACGAAGUUUUAUAAAGCAAUGCUCAGACACGGGCGGUAUAAAAAUGAGGCGAAUUUUAGCGACAUAUUGUUUAGAACUUUUGAUUUAAAUACAGACAAUGUUAUAGAGAAAGACGAGUUUAAGGCAGUGCUUCAUCUGCUGGGCAUCCUGCACAACCAAUAGAAGCCAAGCAAAACCCUAACCCGAUGCCUCACGAUUUCUACGUCACGAUUUCUGCGUCACGAUUUCUGCGUCACAAAUGUAGCUCGGAUGUACAGUUUCAUUUUCACGUGUAUGUGACCAUGACGUCACAAAACUGAUAAAAAAUCCCCCCAGUCAUAUAAGUAUACCUGUGCUGUGUCCUAUUCCUGUCCUGUUCCAUGUCCUUUGCCAUGUCCUGUACCGUCAACAAAGAAAGCGUGAUGCUGCCAUUGAAGAAAAAAAAUGUAACGAAUUUGACACAUCGUCGAAGAAGCGUCCAUAUGUUUAUCUAAAUGUGAAAUUACUGUGGAUACAGUUGCUGUGCUUACCUGGAUAACUUAAAGUUGGUUAAUGGAUUAAACAGUACAAGUCCUUAAUUAAGUUGAUGUUUCAACUAUUAGAAAAAAAUGAUUUGUUUAUUUAUUAGAAUACGAAAGUAACAUUUAAAAAAAAAAUUAGAUUACAAAUUAAUUUUUAAACACGUUUCCAUUUGCCUAAAGAAAAAAAAAACAUCUAAAAAUAAAUUCAAGAUUUCUUUUUACAUAGAGUCCAAUAUUUUUUAAAGAAGGAUAAAUUGUAAUUUCUUGUACUCGCAGUUUCUUAUUUACUAUGGUAUUUUGUUACAAGUAUUAAACACGUCUAAAAUGUCAGUUAAGUUGAUUGGCUUAAAAAAGAACUGUGUGUAAUUAAGUUACAUAUUUAUGUAUUUUAAGAUAUAAUGUAUAUGUAAACAAUAUUAUUAUUUGAAUUUCGUUCUUUAAAGAUUAAAUUUGAUGAUGUUUAUAAAUAUGAUGUAUGAUUUAAAAAAAAAAGAAAAUAAAUUUGUCUUAAAACGUAUAUGUUAAUAGAUUAGAACCUAUUGUAUCGUAUUUGUAUAUUUGCAGAUCUAAUAUUUGGCCUAUUUUUUUGCUGUAAAAUAUUUCCAACUGUUCUGGCCAGUGAUGUAUAUUAGGCAUACGCUUUCAACUCUGAAUAUUUGUGUGUAGCCUGGCUAAUAUCUUCUUUACGGACUGAUUAAUAUUUUAUUAGAUUCCUUUUCGACGGGUUUUUAGUUUCAAAAUGAGCGUUAAUGCGAUGAAUCAUUAAUGAAGCGCUUCUUGUUGCGUUAUUGCUACUCAGUGCUUUAAUGGAUGUUUGACACAGACGAGGAGGAAUGGAAGUGUUAGAAAAGAUUAGGAAGUCAGUAAUGGGGAUGUGUGGGUGAAUCGAAAAAAACGUGGUUAAAAUAUAAAUUAUGAUAAAAUGAGUUUCCAUAGCAGGAAAAUCCUUUAAUCAGGGUUCGGAAAUGUCCGGACGUGGGGAAAUUAGAAUAUAUAAAGUGAUGUAAUGAGUUUCCAUAGUACUGUAAUUCAUUCUUAAGUGGAGGUCGAAAAUAUCCGGAAGUUGGUAGUAAGAAUAUAAAAUAUGAUGAAAAUGAGUUUCCAUAACUUGUGAUUCCUUUAAUUGAGUGUCGGACGUUGGUUAUUAGAAUUCGAUAAAAAGACAAAAAAGAAAACUCUUGGUUAUGUAAUUUGUCUAAAUAUUUUAUUUCUAUGAAGAUACUAUCGAUGGUUUUGAAAAUAUUUAGAAUAUAUAUAUAUAUAUUUAAAAAAAAAAGUCGAGUAGUUCACUAAGACAAAGUUUCCAAUGGGGUAGG
Physella acuta is the source of this 1987-nucleotide long non-coding RNA. RefSeq lists it as uncharacterized. Lineage: Eukaryota; Metazoa; Mollusca; Gastropoda; Physidae. The record is from RefSeq and is a predicted model, not a curated record.